RNA transcript from Chelonus insularis, 1616 nucleotides. It is a transcript of the gene named mitochondrial import receptor subunit TOM40 homolog 1-like, with no coding region annotated. The record is from RefSeq and is a predicted model, not a curated record. The transcript is spliced from 7 exons. Lineage: Eukaryota; Metazoa; Arthropoda; Insecta; Hymenoptera; Braconidae.
GGCGUCUUUUUAUAAAUGGCGACUCACGUAAAUGCACGUUGCUGAUAAAUGUGCUCAUCUAGAAAAAACGAUUAUUCCGGUGUAAUUUAUUGUUGAAUUUCGUUUAAUUAAUUUAGUAACUAAAAAUAUUAAAAAAAUAAGUUAAAUAUUAACUUGACUUUAAUUAAACUUAAUAACAAAAACUAUCAAAUUUAAUUACGAAAAUGGGAAACGUAAAUGCAGCUUCUGCACCACCUCCAUCAGCAAUGCCGACUCUCACACCUCCAGAUAUACCGAAAGAGCAUCAAAUGGGUAGUUAUACACCAUCGGAUACAGAAAACAAAUCAAAAAAUCCUGGAACAGUGGAAGAACUACAUAAGCUUUGUAAAGAUGUUUUUCCAACGCAUUUUGAAGGGGCUAAACUCAUGGUCAACAAAGCUCUUAGCAAUCAUUUUCAAAUAUCUCAUACCAUUUCGAUGAGCUCUGUUAUCAAAUCAGGAUACAAAUUCGGAGCAACAUUUGUAGGAACCAAACAAACAUCACCAACAGAAGCUUAUCCAGUACUUUUAGGAGAUAUAGAAUCUAGUGGAAAUCUUAAUGCUAAUAUUGUACAUCAAUUUCAUCCACGAUUGAAGGCAAAAAUGGCCACACAAGUACAGCGAAGUAAAUUCACCGCAGUUCAAAUGACUUCUGAUUAUCGUGGAGACACUUUUACUGCUUCUUUAACGGUAGCUAAUCCCGAUAUCAUCAAUGGCUCUGGUGUUAUGGUUGCACAUUACCUCCAGAAUGUCACUCCAGCAUUAGCCCUUGGAGGAGAACUUGCAUAUCAACGAGGCUACGGUAUUCCUGGUGGAUCCAUUGCUGUAGCUUCUCUCGUAGGCCGAUAUACAAAUGGAGAUUCAACAAUUAGCGCCAGUUUAGGUCCAGCAAGUUGUCAUUUGUGUUUCCAUCAAAGAGCUAGUCAACAAUUGCAAAUUGGCGUAGAAUUGGAAGUUAAUUCUCGAAUGCAAGAAUCAACAGCUACAAUAGCCUAUCAGAUUGAUUUACCGAAAGCCGAUAUAAUAUAUAGAGGGAGCAUCGAUUCUAAUUGGACAGUAGGAGCAGUUUUAGAGAAAAAAUUACAACCACUUCCUUUCUCAUUUGCUCUCAGUGGUCUCUUAAAUCACUCCAAAGGCCAUUUCCAACUUGGUUGUGGUCUAAUUAUUGGCUAAAUCAUUGAAAUUAAUAUAAAAUUCUUCUAUUGAGAAUUUUAUUAAAUUAAAUAGAAAUAAAAAAAAUACUUUGACGUUGUAUGAUACGAGAUAUUGAAUUGUUGAAAUGUUCAAUAGAACAUUAAACUUGUUGCGGAUUAAAGAUCAGAAGAUUACAUUCGCGCUACCUUAAUUUUUUUAACAAUUAUGAACUGGAAAAAUUCAUUGAUCUCCAUUGUACAGUUACAAUAGGCAAAUGCGAUUGCAUGUAUUAAAAAUAUAUUAUAUAUAUAUAUAUUAAAAAAAAAUUUCUGUUACUUGGUAUGGUAUAAUGCAAAGUCUCAGUUUUUAUUUAGUUUAUAUGAUGGUUAAAUAUUGUUUAUUGUUUAGUUUGUCUGCUACUAGUGUGUAACUGGAAUAAAUUUCAUUUUACUGCAAUAAAUGUCG